This 22-nucleotide non-coding RNA is filed under the name Arabidopsis thaliana (thale cress). The record is from RNAcentral. Lineage: Eukaryota; Viridiplantae; Streptophyta; Magnoliopsida; Brassicales; Brassicaceae.
UCUACAACAUUAGAGUGCUUGC